GUGCUGGAUAGCAUGACAGUCUUCGAAACUGUCGGACCAGGUUCGAUUCCUGG
RNAcentral lists this transfer RNA (53 nucleotides) under Rhodopirellula baltica SH 1. It matches the Rfam family "tRNA", at positions 10 to 63 of the family's 71-position model. Rfam says of the family: Transfer RNA (tRNA) molecules are approximately 80 nucleotides in length. The record is from Rfam by way of RNAcentral. RNAcentral also lists the same sequence under 6 other names. Lineage: Bacteria; Pseudomonadati; Planctomycetota; Planctomycetia; Pirellulales; Pirellulaceae.